CCUCUUCCGUUGCUCAAAGCUCAAUCUUUCUUCUUUUGAACUGAAUCUCUCCGUCUUCAGAUCCCAUCAUAAUUUUCCAGGAAAAACAUCAGAGUUUUCUCGAGAAAUUCCACGUCUUUCUCUCAAACCGCUCCAUAUUUUCCAUGGCGAAUGCCUGGAAAAAAGAGAACAAACGCCCAAAACUUCUCUCGCCCAAGCCCCUUCUCCUUCUCCUCCUUACCCUCUCUCUUGUGUUCUUCUUAUUCUUCUUCUUCUCUCGCUCACCAUCAAAUCUUAGCCCCUCUCUCUCUGUCUCAAAAAUAAUAUCGCAAACACAAGCAUCUGUUUAUCCAAUCCCUCCCUUCGAUUGCUUAAAAUCCCCGCAAGCCCACCCAGUAGUUGCCAACAUAGUAGAGAACCUCAAGUACCCAUUUUUAUACUCUCUCUCCGAUUUUGGAUCCUUGCCCGAUAAACCUCACAAGAACAUUGUGAGGUUGUUAAAAGGAAAGCCCUUUAGGAAGCCGGACAUCUCCGCGACGAUUCAGGAGCUGUUGGAAGGGACAAAGGGGAGAGAUGGGUUGGUGGUGGAUGUGGGCGCUAAUGUAGGAAUGGCUAGUUUUGCGGCUGCCGUUAUGGGAUAUAGAGUGUUAGCUUUUGAGCCAGUUAUUGAGAAUUUGCAGAGGAUUUGUGAUGGGAUUUGGUUUAAUCGAGUUGGGGACUUGGUUACUGUUUUUGAAGCUGCUGUGUCUGAUCGGAUUGGGAAUAUCACUUUUUAUAAGCUGGUUGGCCGGCUUGACAAUAGUGCGGUGUCAGCCACUGGUGCAAAGCUGGCAUUCAAGUCCAAUGAAGAAAUAGCAGUUCAAGUAAGGACCAUUCCUCUUGAUGAACUGAUUCCAGAGUCAGAGCCUGUGCUUCUACUCAAAAUUGAUGUUCAGGGAUGGGAAUAUCAUGUAUUAAAAGGAGCCUCAAAGUUACUGUCAAGAAAGAAAGGUGAAGCUCCAUACCUAAUCUAUGAGGAAGAUGAGCGGUUGCUGCAAGCCAGCAACAGCAGUGCUAAAGAAAUUCGUGAUUUCCUCCAAACUGUGGGUUAUCAUCAUUGCACCCAGCAUGGUACAGAUGCUCACUGCUCUAAAGAUUAAUUAAGGUGAUGAGCUUUCCCCUAGGAGACUGAACCUAACAGCAAGACUUUGCUUCCACUUUUAACUUUUUUGGGCAAUGAUCGAGGAAAUUUGGCUGCUUUGCUUCAAUACAUAUUAUUUCAUUCUUCUUGUUUCAGAGAAAGAUAUGUAAGGUAUAAUGAGCCAAUGAUACCACUGCUUCCAGAAUUCAUAUAAUCUUAGUUAAUGGUGAUUGGAUCUUAGCUUUUGCUGCUGGUGCAACUGGUGACGGAAAAUUCAAUUAAAAGCAAGCCAUUCCAUAUGUGCUGCUUGUUGAGCUCACACUCUGGACGAAAAAAACGUUAGUCGGCUUGAUAGCGUGCUGUUGUCGAGUCUAAUUGAGAAUUCAAGCCAUCUCAACAAGAAUACCAUACUUUCUAAGGUUUUUUCCUUUUUCCCCUUUUAAUAGCAAUUAGUUUGUAGAAUAUACAGAAUUGCACUGACUAAAUCUGCUCCUGAAUUCCAUAAUCUAUAAACAUAUAUAAGAUAUGAAUUCGUACAGUAUAUGAGAUGAACAAUAUCUACACUAUUCAGCUUCAAUCAGUAGAAGCAACAUGUUUUACCCUGCAGGAAAAUCAACACACGAGAAACAGAACUUGCAUCAGUCCAUUUAUAUUCUAAACAAAUCCUUUUUAUAACAUACCUUUAAAUAAAAAUAAUACCAGAAGCUUCAACGAAUAUAUCCUAUAAAAAAGUCAAUACUGCUUUUGAGGAUUGCCAUACCUCAUCGAAGCACUGAAUAUCAAAUGGAUUGCUGGAGAGUUAUGACUACGAAGCUCAACCUUUUAGGAUUGUUUUGGACCACUAUUUUUAGAGGGGCCAGCUCUCUCCACCAUUACAUCAUAAAGUUGCUUACCAUUCUAUUCAGAAGAAGAAAAACAGAAAGAAUUUUAGUGAAGGAAAUAGCUUAACAAAGAAAAACCCAAGUCAUAAGUCACAGAUAUUCAUUCUAAAAAUAUUUAUUUUUUUUUCCCUUUUAUUCUAUUUUCUUUAAUACAAAGCACCCCACAAAUACAUUUGCAUGAUUAGGCUUCCUCCCCACAAGCCCUAAAGCUCAGCUUCCUAGGUUUGUAUUUUGAUGAUAUACUUACAAAAAUUACUGGGAAGAAGUGCACUUGUCCUUCAGGUUUUGUUUGAGUCUCUUUAAAGUACACCAGAAUAGGGAAAUUUGGCCACCAUAGUUCCCAAUUCACAAAUGUUGAAAAUCUGUAAUAAAAAUAAAUAGGUCAGUGGCUAUUCAUUGAAUUUGGAUGGAGCAAAGAAAGUACUUACUUCCAACGAUUUUUUCCACCUACGAACACAUUUUCGCCUGAUUCCUCAAGCUGGUCUCCAAUUUUGACCUCCUAGGACGGCAAACAUCAUAUGCAUAUGAGCCAAAAUGAAGUUUGUUGGAUCAAUAAUAAACAGGAACAGAUGCAAUUUGCAUGUCAUUCUAUCUACCAGUCCAAAUUAUGACUCCAUAGGGACAAGCACUCGACUGUGGGGCGAGCCAAAAGUACAGUGAGAAUGAGAUCUAUUAACCUAGAAAGCGAAAUGAAGUGAACUCCAAGAUAAAUGUUGUUCAAAAUCUCAACUAGAUCCUGAUUUCAUUCCUGGUAGAAGACCAUACGAACUAAACUGACAGACAAAUAUAUUUCUGGGAAAUACUAGAAGAAAACACUAAUCAUUUUUCAGUUCAAUAUUUGAGCUAGUUUACUCAAUCAGUUUGCAAAUCAAGUACAGCUGGGAGAAGAGAUUCCAGUAUUGCUUAAUUCCUUCAAAAACUGUCAAUUACAAUCACAAAAUCGAGUGCACUGGAUCUCAGUUUAACACAUUAAUUUGCUAGAAAAAGAUUCCAGAUAUCACAGCAAAUCAAUUUUCUGAACAUCUUUGAUUGGUAACAACAGUGGCAUUGAUAUGCACUCCACAUGCAAAUCUAAGCAUGCAUAUUUCCUUUAUUUUAUAGUGAUCCAACCAAAUUAAAGUCACUGCAAAGAUCCAGUCAAAGCCAAUUGAGUUAUAUAAUCUAAGAACAGUUCAGGUAGCAGAACCUACCUAACAAACUGAGUCGUCAAAAAGUUAAGUUUUUCAAGUAAAAGAUCAUUCUAACAUUUAAACAAAUGCACAAGUCUGAGGAAAAAAGCUGAAAAAUUAAUAUAUCAAUGAUAAGUAGAUUUUAUCUUUCUGUCUUGUAGAUCCUACUUCCUAGAGAGUGAACA
RNAcentral lists this unclassified non-coding RNA (3334 nucleotides) under Hevea brasiliensis (rubber tree). The record is from RNAcentral. Lineage: Eukaryota; Viridiplantae; Streptophyta; Magnoliopsida; Malpighiales; Euphorbiaceae.